CGGCGGACGGGUGAGUAACGCGUGGGUAACCUGCCUCAUACAGGGGGAUAACAGUUAGAAAUGACUGCUAAUACCGCAUAAGACCACAGCACCGCAUGGUGCGGGGGUAAAAGCUCCGGUGGUAUGAGAUGGACCCGCGUCUGAUUAGCUGGUUGGUAAGGUAACGGCUUACCAAGGCGACGAUCAGUAGCCGACCUGAGAGGGUGACCGGCCACAUUGGGACUGAGACACGGCCCAA
RNAcentral lists this ribosomal RNA (238 nucleotides) under uncultured bacterium. Its description in RNAcentral is "partial 16S ribosomal RNA". It matches the Rfam family "Bacterial small subunit ribosomal RNA", at positions 96 to 334 of the family's 1533-position model. The record is from RNAcentral.